UCCCCUUAGUCUAACUUAGCCUCCGGAGAAUGACAGCGGGCGCGCGUAAGAGGCUCGUCCGGGGAUGAGGCAGCAUCCUCGGGCGGCGGGCGGGAGGAGGCAGCCUCCCCUUAGUGUAACUUAGCCUCCGGAGAAUGACAGCGGGCGCGCGCAAGAGGCUCGUCCGGGGAUGAGGCAGCAUCCUCGGGCGGCGGGCGGGAGGAGGCAGCCUCCCCUUAGUGUAACUUAGUCUCCGGAGAAUGACAGCGGGAGCGCGUAAGA
Long non-coding RNA from Syngnathus acus (greater pipefish), 261 nucleotides. RefSeq lists it as uncharacterized. Lineage: Eukaryota; Metazoa; Chordata; Actinopteri; Syngnathiformes; Syngnathidae. The transcript is spliced from 2 exons. The record is from RefSeq and is a predicted model, not a curated record.